CGUUAAGUAGCAAGGUUAAGCACUUAAGGUGUGGAGCCGUAGCGAAAGCGAGUUUUAACUGAGCGUUCAGUUACUUGACGUAGACCCGAAACCGGGCGACCUACCCAUGAGCAGGAUGAAGCGAAAGUAAAAUUUCGUGGAGGUCCGAACCCACGAGCGUUGAAAAGCUCGGGGAUGACUUGUGGGUAGCGGUGAAAUUCCAAUCGAGCCCGGAGAUAGCUGGUUCUCCCCGAAAUAGCUUUAGGGCUAGCCUCAAGGUGAGAGAUACGGAGGUAGAGCACUGAAUGUCCUAGGGGGUAUUGCACCUACCGAAGACUAUCAAACUCCGAAUGCCGUCAUCUUAUACUUGGGAGUCAGACUGUGGGUGAUAAGAUUCAUAGUCGAAAGGGCAACAGCCCAGAUCG
Molecule: ribosomal RNA, 404 nt
Filed under: Clostridioides difficile
Lineage: Bacteria; Bacillati; Bacillota; Clostridia; Peptostreptococcales; Peptostreptococcaceae
Description: bacterial LSU rRNA
Rfam family: Bacterial large subunit ribosomal RNA
Source: RNAcentral